UAACGCGUGGGUAACCUGCCUCACACCGGGGGAUAACAGUUAGAAAUAGCUGCUAAUACCGCAUAAGCGCACGGUUCCGCAUGGAACAGUGUGAAAAACUCCGGUGGUGUGAGAUGGACCCGCGUCUGAUUAGCCAGUUGGCGGGGUAACGGCCCACCAAAGCGACGAUCAGUAGCCGGCCUGAGAGGGUGAACGGCCACAUUGGGACUGAGACACGGCCCAAACUCCUACGGGAGGCAGCAGUGGGGAAUAUUGCACAAUGGGGGAAACCCUGAUGCAGCGACGCCGCGUGAGUGAAGAAGUAUUUCGGUAUGUAAAGCUCUAUCAGCAGGGAAGAAAGUGACGGUACCUGAAUAAGAAGCCCCGGCUAACUACGUGCCAGCAGCCGCGGUAAUACGUAGGGGGCAAGCGUUAUCCGGAUUUACUGGGUGUAAAGGGAGCGUAGACGGCAAGGCAAGUCUGAAGUGAAAGCCCGGUGCUUAACGCCGGGACUGCUUUGGAAACUGUUUGGCUGGAGUGCCGGAGAGGUAAGCGGAAUUCCUAGUGUAGCGGUGAAAUGCGUAGAUAUUAGGAAGAACACCAGUGGCGAAGGCGGCUUACUGGACGGUAACUGACGUUGAGGCUCGAAAGCGUGGGGAGCAAACAGGAUUAGAUACCCUGGUAGUCCACGCCGUAAAACGAUGAUUGCUAGGUGU
RNAcentral lists this ribosomal RNA (695 nucleotides) under uncultured bacterium. RNAcentral describes it as "bacterial SSU rRNA". It matches the Rfam family "Bacterial small subunit ribosomal RNA", at positions 111 to 823 of the family's 1533-position model. The record is from RNAcentral.